GCCCAAGUGGUGGAAUUGGUAGACACGCUAUCUUGAGGGGGUAGUGGCGCAAGCCGUUCCGGUUCAAGUCCGGACUUGGGCACCA
Molecule: transfer RNA, 85 nt
Filed under: Teredinibacter turnerae
Lineage: Bacteria; Pseudomonadati; Pseudomonadota; Gammaproteobacteria; Cellvibrionales; Cellvibrionaceae
Also listed under: 2 other names
Description: tRNA-Leu
Source: RNAcentral